CAGUCGUAACAAGGUAACCGUAAGGGGUACUCGAGUGGCGAACGGGUGAGUAACACGUGGGUGAUCUGCCCUGCACUUUGGGAUAAGCCUGGGAAACUGGGUCUAAUACCGAAUACACCCUGCUGGUCGCAUGGCCUGGUGGGGGAAAGCUUUUGCGGUGUGGGAUGGGCCCGCGGCCUAUCAGCUUGUUGGUGGGGUGAUGGCCUACCAAGGCGACGACGGGUAGCCGGCCUGAGAGGGUGUCCGGCCACACUGGGACUGAGAUACGGCCCAGACUCCUACGGGAGGCAGCAGUGGGGAAUAUUGCACAAUGGGCGCAAGCCUGAUGCAGCGACGCCGCGUGAGGGACGACGGCCUUCGGGUUGUAAACCUCUUUCAGCACAGACGAAGCGCAAGUGACGGUAUGUGCAGAAGAAGCACCGGCCAACUACGUGCCAGCAGCCGCGGUAAUACGUAGGGUGCGAGCGUUGUCCGGAAUUACUGGGCGUAAAGAGCUCGUAGGUGGUUUGUCGCGUUGUUCGUGAAAACUCACAGCUCAACUGUGGGCGUGCGGGCGAUACGGGCAGACUGGAGUACUGCAGGGGAGACUGGAAUUCCUGGUGUAGCGGUGGAAUGCGCAGAUAUCAGGAGGAACACCGGUGGCGAAGGCGGGUCUCUGGGCAGUAACUGACGCUGAGGAGCGAAAGCGUGGGGAGCGAACAGGAUUAGAUACCCUGGUAGUCCACGCCGUAAACGGUGGGUACUAGGUGUGGGUUUCCUUCCUUGGGAUCCGUGCCGUAGCUAACGCAUUAAGUACCCCGCCUGGGGAGUACGGCCGCAAGGCUAAAACUCAAAGAAAUUGACGGGGGCCCGCACAAGCGGCGGAGCAUGUGGAUUAAUUCGAUGCAACGCGAAGAACCUUACCUGGGUUUGACAUGCACAGGACGCUGGUAGAGAUAUCAGUUCCCUUGUGGCCUGUGUGCAGGUGGUGCAUGGCUGUCGUCAGCUCGUGUCGUGAGAUGUUGGGUUAAGUCCCGCAACGAGCGCAACCCUUGUCUCAUGUUGCCAGCGGGUAAUGCCGGGGACUCGUGAGAGACUGCCGGGGUCAACUCCGAAGGAAAGGUGGGGGAUGACGUUCAAGUCAUCAUGCCCCUUUAUG
Molecule: ribosomal RNA, 1138 nt
Filed under: Mycobacterium sp. prunus-01
Lineage: Bacteria; Bacillati; Actinomycetota; Actinomycetes; Mycobacteriales; Mycobacteriaceae
Description: bacterial SSU rRNA
Rfam family: Bacterial small subunit ribosomal RNA
Source: RNAcentral